RNAcentral lists this ribosomal RNA (449 nucleotides) under uncultured bacterium. RNAcentral describes it as "partial 16S ribosomal RNA". It matches the Rfam family "Bacterial small subunit ribosomal RNA", at positions 29 to 523 of the family's 1533-position model. The record is from RNAcentral.
AACGAACGCUGGCGGCAGGCUUAACACAUGCAAGUCGAACGAUCACUUCGGUGAUAGUGGCGCACGGGUGCGUAACGCGUGGGAAUCUGCCCUUGGGUUCGGAAUAACAGCUGGAAACGGCUGCUAAUACCGGAUGAUGACGUAAGUCCAAAGAUUUAUCGCCCAGGGAUGAGCCCGCGUAGGAUUAGGUAGUUGGUGGGGUAAAGGCCUACCAAGCCUACGAUCCUUAGCUGGUCUGAGAGGAUGAUCAGCCACACUGGGACUGAGACACGGCCCAGACUCCUACGGGAGGCAGCAGUAGGGAAUAUUGGACAAUGGGGGCAACCCUGAUCCAGCAAUGCCGCGUGAGUGAUGAAGGCCUUAGGGUUGUAAAGCUCUUUUACCCGGGAUGAUAAUGACAGUACCGGGAGAAUAAGCCCCGGCUAACUCCGUGCCAGCAGCCGCCGUAA